Aotus nancymaae (Ma's night monkey) is the source of this 106-nucleotide small nuclear RNA. Lineage: Eukaryota; Metazoa; Chordata; Mammalia; Primates; Aotidae. The record is from Ensembl.
AAACUCACUUUGACAGCUCGUAUACUAAAACUGGAAUGAUACAGAGAGAUUAGCCUGGCCCCUGCACAAGGAUAACACCUAAAUUCGUGAAGCGUUCCAUAUUUUA